Molecule: long non-coding RNA, 565 nt
Organism: Triticum dicoccoides
Lineage: Eukaryota; Viridiplantae; Streptophyta; Magnoliopsida; Poales; Poaceae
Exons: 2
Source: RefSeq, a predicted model, not a curated record
UCCUCGUUCGCCCGCCCCGCUCAACACCAUGUGUUCAUCCAAGUCACAGUUUAGCUCCACCCCUCCUGCGUCGCACCACACCGCCAACCAGGUUCCCCCUCUACCUCUCAUCCGUUGCCCAGAGUGCAACGCCGGAUUCGUAGUGUGGUUUGUCUCUGGGACUGUAGAAAACCCAGGAAGGCACUUCUACAAGUGCGAAAGGCAUGGAUUCGGCCGCUGCAGGUUUUGAAAGUGGGAGAACAAGUACAUUCAGUACUUCAGCGCCCGUUGGGGACACCUCAUUUCACAUGCAUCAGUCCAUCGCCAUGUAUCUCUGCUUGAAGAAAACCAAGCAUGGCUGAAGAACAUCUUUGCGCUUGGCGUCGUCAACCUGGUGGUCAUGGCAAUGAUUUGCACGCUGAAGUUCUAAGAGCGCCUGAGUCGAUGUAGGUCACCGUAUGGUUGUAGCUAGCUGUUUUUCAGAGUGCUACGUGGUUUUUAGCUGCCUGGUCGAUGUGUUUCGUGUCGUUGCAUCUUGAUGUAAGCACAGGGCCAAUCAAUAAUACACGCGAGCGUUUUCUUUUCA